RNAcentral lists this ribosomal RNA (724 nucleotides) under Pseudoalteromonas sp. C27. RNAcentral's name for it is "bacterial SSU rRNA". It matches the Rfam family "Bacterial small subunit ribosomal RNA", at positions 64 to 786 of the family's 1533-position model. The record is from RNAcentral. Lineage: Bacteria; Pseudomonadati; Pseudomonadota; Gammaproteobacteria; Alteromonadales; Pseudoalteromonadaceae.
GAGCGGUACAUUUCUAGCUUGCUAGAAGAUGACGAGCGGCGGACGGGUGAGUAAUGCUUGGGAACAUGCCUUGAGGUGGGGGACAACCAUUGGAAACGAUGGCUAAUACCGCAUAAUGUCUACGGACCAAAGGGGGCUUCGGCUCUCGCCUUUAGAUUGGCCCAAGUGGGAUUAGCUAGUUGGUGAGGUAACGGCUCACCAAGGCGACGAUCCCUAGCUGGUUUGAGAGGAUGAUCAGCCACACUGGAACUGAGACACGGUCCAGACUCCUACGGGAGGCAGCAGUGGGGAAUAUUGCACAAUGGGCGCAAGCCUGAUGCAGCCAUGCCGCGUGUGUGAAGAAGGCCUUAGGGUUGUAAAGCACUUUCAGUCAGGAGGAAAGGUUAGUAGUUAAUACCUGCUAGCUGUGACGUUACUGACAGAAGAAGCACCGGCUAACUCCGUGCCAGCAGCCGCGGUAAUACGGAGGGUGCGAGCGUUAAUCGGAAUUACUGGGCGUAAAGCGUACGCAGGCGGUUUGUUAAGCGAGAUGUGAAAGCCCCGGGCUUAACCUGGGAACUGCAUUUCGAACUGGCAAACUAGAGUGUGAUAGAGGGUGGUAGAAUUUCAGGUGUAGCGGUGAAAUGCGUAGAGAUCUGAAGGAAUACCGAUGGCGAAGGCAGCCACCUGGGUCAACACUGACGCUCAUGUACGAAAGCGUGGGGAGCAAACAGGAUUAGAUACC